ACCUUCGGGCCUCUUGCCAUCGGAUGUGCCCAGAUGGGAUUAGCUAGUAGGUGGGGUAACGGCUCACCUAGGCGACGAUCCCUAGCUGGUCUGAGAGGAUGACCAGCCACACUGGAACUGAGACACGGUCCAGACUCCUACGGGAGGCAGCAGUGGGGAAUAUUGCACAAUGGGCGCAAGCCUGAUGCAGCCAUGCCGCGUGUAUGAAGAAGGCCUUCGGGUUGUAAAGUACUUUCAGCGGGGAGGAAGGGAGUAAAGUUAAUACCUUUGCUCAUUGACGUUACCCGCAGAAGAAGCACCGGCUAACUCCGUGCCAGCAGCCGCGGUAAUACGGAGGGUGCAAGCGUUAAUCGGAAUUACUGGGCGUAAAGCGCACGCAGGCGGUUUGUUAAGUCAGAUGUGAAAUCCCCGGGCUCAACCUGGGAACUGCAUCUGAUACUGGCAAGCUUGAGUCUCGUAGAGGGGGGUAGA
RNAcentral lists this ribosomal RNA (471 nucleotides) under Escherichia coli. Its description in RNAcentral is "bacterial SSU rRNA". It matches the Rfam family "Bacterial small subunit ribosomal RNA", at positions 199 to 665 of the family's 1533-position model. The record is from RNAcentral. Lineage: Bacteria; Pseudomonadati; Pseudomonadota; Gammaproteobacteria; Enterobacterales; Enterobacteriaceae.